Molecule: ribosomal RNA, 707 nt
Filed under: Clitaetra perroti
Lineage: Eukaryota; Metazoa; Arthropoda; Arachnida; Araneae; Nephilidae
Description: bacterial SSU rRNA
Rfam family: Eukaryotic small subunit ribosomal RNA
Source: RNAcentral
GGAAGGCAGCAGGCGCGCAACUUACCCACUCCCGGCACGGGGAGGUAGUGACGAAAAAUACCUUGUCGGGACUAAGUCUAGUUCCCGUCGGAGGAAUGCGGGUGCAACAGACACGCAUCCCAACCCAUUGGAGGGCAAGACUGAUGCCAGCAGCAGCGGCAACAUCAGCUCCAAUAGCGUAUAUUAAAAUUGUUGCGGUUAAAACGCUCGUAGUUGAAUCUCUGCCCCGAGCCUCCCCCUUUUGUCCCCUGUUGGGACCUAACCCGGGGGGAGGGUCUGGCAUAGGGGUCCUUUCUCCGGGGGGGAUUGUCAAAGGUUCCCCCCGGGGUCUGGAGCCAAGUUACUUUGAACUAAAUAGUGGUGCUCAAGUAACACGAAACCUAAUAAUUGUGGUGCAUGGAAUAACGGAAGAGGACCUGCGUCCUCACUCGGUUGGUCUGAAGAAGGAAAGGUAAUGAUUAAGAGGAGCAGACGGGGGCAUUCGUAGUGCGGCGCUAGGGGUGAAAUCCGGUGACCGUCGCACGACGAACUACUGCGAAAGCAUUUGCCAAGAAUGUUUCCAUUAACCAAGAACGAAAGUCAGAGGAUCGAAGGUGAUUAGAUACCGCCCUAGUUCUGACCCUAAACCAUGUCGACCAGCUAUCACCCUGCCUGAAUAUUGCGUGGCGGGUGGAAGCUUGCUCGGGAAACCAGAGUAUCUGGGUUCC